AACGAACGCUGGCGGCAUGCCUAACACAUGCAAGUCGAACGAGACCUUCGGGUCUAGUGGCGCACGGGUGCGUAACGCGUGGGAACCUGCCCUUAGGUUCGGAAUAACUCCCCGAAAGGGGUGCUAAUACCGGAUAAUGUCUUCGGACCAAAGAUUUAUCGCCUUUGGAUGGGCCCGCGUUGGAUUAGCUAGUUGGUAGGGUAAAAGCCUACCAAGGCGACGAUCCCUAGCUGGUCUGAGAGGAUGAUCAGCCACACUGGGACUGAGACACGGCCCAGACUCCUACGGGAGGCAGCAGUGGGGAAUAUUGGACAAUGGGCGAAAGCCUGAUCCAGCAAUGCCGCGUGAGUGAUGAAGGCCUUAGGGUUGUAAAGCUCUUUUACCCGGGAUGAUAAUGACAGUACCGGGAGAAUAAGCUCCGGCUAAAUCCGUG
Molecule: ribosomal RNA, 433 nt
Filed under: uncultured bacterium
Lineage: Bacteria
Description: partial 16S ribosomal RNA
Rfam family: Bacterial small subunit ribosomal RNA
Source: RNAcentral